This 749-nucleotide long non-coding RNA is filed under the name Apteryx owenii (little spotted kiwi). Its description in RNAcentral is "lncRNA (ENSAOWG00000018395.1)". Lineage: Eukaryota; Metazoa; Chordata; Aves; Apterygiformes; Apterygidae. The record is from RNAcentral.
GUCCUGUGUGGCUGGGCUAACCCUGGCCCGUGAGCGCGGCUGGGGAGGUCUGCUCUGUGCAGGUUUUGCUCUGAGCAUGCGUUUGUAAAGCCGAGUGAGGAGUUCUUGCUUUUGGAAGUGUUUGGAUGGAGGUAUCGAGCAGGGCUCAGCCCCUGUGUUUGCUGGGAAUUGGUGGGGAGCAGAGCAUGACCUCUGGGGAGAACCAGCGGUGGACUGGGCCCGAGCCUGUGCCGCACUGGGGGCCUGCGGCUGUGCGCCAUCCCCGAGGUGCUGCCCCCUUCCUACGGGUGCAGCUGGUGCAGUGUUGCCGCGGGAUCCUUGGGACAGGAGUGGGACACGGCUCUGCAGCGGCUGCCCAGACCCUGCUGCCUGCCCAAAGAGCGCUGGGGUCUGGGCAGCACAAACCUGACUGCUUCUUCCCUCAGCAUUUUCUCAACAUGGAGUGCUGCUUCUCCUGGCUGCUGCUGCCUUCUAGACUGCUAGGAAUCCACAUGCUGAAGCCAGGAAGAACAUACUCUGUUGAACUGUGAUGCUGAAGCAAAUUUGCAAACAUCGAAAGAACUAUUUUUAAAAUGACUGAAGUGAGCAAGGGACUUUCCAUUGACUUUAAGAACGGCUGGACCAGACCUUUAUCAUUGUUUUAUUUAUUUAUUUUUAACUGUUUUAGCUUGACAGUGCCCAUGGAGAGUCAAAGUUAUUUUCAGAACUGCAUCAAUUAUGACCAAAUAAAGAUCUGUCAUCUAUUAACA